UACGGAGGAGGCGAGCGUUAUCCGGAUUUACUGGGCGUAAAGCGCGUGUAGGCGGUCCGGCAAGUUGGAUGUGAAAUCUCCCGGCUCAACCGGGAGAGGUCGUUCAAUACUGCUGGACUAGAGAGCAGUAGAGGGGGGUGGAAUUCCGGGUGUAGCGGUGAAAUGCGUAGAUAUCCGGAGGAACACCAGUGGCGAAGGCGGCCCCCUGGACUGUCUCUGACGCUCAGACGCGAAAGCUAGGGGAGCAAACAGG
Molecule: ribosomal RNA, 253 nt
Filed under: uncultured bacterium
Lineage: Bacteria
Description: partial 16S ribosomal RNA
Rfam family: Bacterial small subunit ribosomal RNA
Source: RNAcentral